GGAUGAACGCUAGCUACAGGCUUAACACAUGCAAGUCGAGGGGCAGCAUUUCAGUUUGCUUGCAAACUGGAGAUGGCGACCGGCGCACGGGUGAGUAACACGUAUCCAACCUGCCGAUAACUCGGGGAUAGCCUUUCGAAAGAAAGAUUAAUACCCGAUGGUAUAAUCAGACCGCAUGGUCUUGUUAUUAAAGAAUUUCGGUUAUCGAUGGGGAUGCGUUCCAUUAGGCAGUUGGUGAGGUAACGGCUCACCAAACCUUCGAUGGAUAGGGGUUCUGAGAGGAAGGUCCCCCACAUUGGAACUGAGACACGGUCCAAACUCCUACGGGAGGCAGCAGUGAGGAAUAUUGGUCAAUGGGCGCAGGCCUGAACCAGCCAAGUAGCGUGAAGGAUGACUGCCCUAUGGGUUGUAAACUUCUUUUAUAUGGGAAUAAAGUUUUCCACGUGUGGAAUUUUGUAUGUACCAUAUGAAUAAGGAUCGGCUAACUCCGUGCCAGCAGCCGCGGUAAUACGGAGGAUCCGAGCGUUAUCCGGAUUUAUUGGGUUUAAAGGGAGCGUAGGUGGACAGUUAAGUCAGUUGUGAAAGUUUGCGGCUCAACCGUAAAAUUGCAGUUGAUACUGGCUGUCUUGAGUACAGUAGAGGUGGGCGGAAUUCGUGGUGUAGCGGUGAAAUGCUUAGAUAUCACGAAGAACUCCGAUUGCGAAGGCAGCUCACUGGACUGCAACUGACACUGAUGCUCGAAAGUGUGGGUAUCAAACAGGAUUAGAUACCCUGGUAGUCCACACAGUAAACGAUGAAUACUCGCUGUUUGCGAUAUACAGUAAGCGGCCAAGCGAAAGCAUUAAGUAUUCCACCUGGGGAGUACGCCGGCAACGGUGAAACUCAAAGGAAUUGACGGGGGCCCGCACAAGCGGAGGAACAUGUGGUUUAAUUCGAUGAUACGCGAGGAACCUUACCCGGGCUUAAAUUGCAUUUGAAUAUAUUGGAAACAGUAUAGCCGUAAGGCAAAUGUGAAGGUGCUGCAUGGUUGUCGUCAGCUCGUGCCGUGAGGUGUCGGCUUAAGUGCCAUAACGAGCGCAACCCUUAUCUUUAGUUACUAACAGGUCAUGCUGAGGACUCUAGAGAGACUGCCGUCGUAAGAUGUGAGGAAGGUGGGGAUGACGUCAAAUCAGCACGGCCCUUACGUCCGGGGCUACACACGUGUUACAAUGGGGGGUACAGAAGGCAGCUACCUGGUGACAGGAUGCUAAUCCCAAAAGCCUCUCUCAGUUCGGAUCGAAGUCUGCAACCCGACUUCGUGAAGCUGGAUUCGCUAGUAAUCGCGCAUCAGCCAUGGCGCGGUGAAUACGUUCCCGGGCCUUGUACACACCGCCCGUCAAGCCAUGAAAGCCGGGGGUACCUGAAGUACGUAACCGCAAGGAGCGUCCUAGGGUAAAACUGGUAAUUGGGGCUAA
Molecule: ribosomal RNA, 1454 nt
Filed under: uncultured Bacteroides sp.
Lineage: Bacteria; Pseudomonadati; Bacteroidota; Bacteroidia; Bacteroidales; Bacteroidaceae
Description: bacterial SSU rRNA
Rfam family: Bacterial small subunit ribosomal RNA
Source: RNAcentral